UGUGAUUCUGUGAUUCAAAGUCAAUGAGUCACUCAGCUGUUACACUUCUUGUAUACAAAAAGCAAAACUGUGCAUUUCACUUGCAACUGCUUAAUAACAUGAUCACCUUCACACAAAGGGAAAAAAAAGCACUGUGGAAAUUAUCCUAAAAAAGCUUCAUUAAUAGAAUAGAGCAUCCUGUGAUGCCUUAAUGAAGGUAUUCUGAUGAGUUUCUGUGAUGCACACUUGCAGCGCUGCUUUUCACUUAGCCUUUUCUUGCAUGUGAUUUUCCAG
Molecule: long non-coding RNA, 273 nt
Filed under: Gallus gallus (chicken)
Lineage: Eukaryota; Metazoa; Chordata; Aves; Galliformes; Phasianidae
Source: RNAcentral